UCUGGAUGCGAUUUGCAGGGCUGAUUUUGAUGGUGUAUGAUGCUGAAAGUGACGUAAUGUAUUGUUUGGAUUUUGAAACUGGAUGUGUAUGCACAGGUUUAUGGAAUUGGCAUGAUUCGGGAGCAUGGUUAUGGUUUGAAGACUCGAGAAAGAGACCACCGGGUAGACAUCAUGGAAACUGGCGGAGCAAAGCUUGAAAGAUCGGAGUCAUGAUGAAGCUUUAGAGAAAACUAAACUUUAUGAUGUAAUAAUUUGAUUUUUGUAGUAUGUAAUGGUACUGAGAUAGGAGUGGAAUGGUGGAAUAUAUCUUUGGUGUGAUGGCAGGGACAUGUAUUUGGAAUGGACUUUUGGUAAUAUUUGUAAUGAAUAUUUUUUGUAUUGAAUAGAGACAUGGGCUUUGGCUUAUUUGAAUGAUGAA
This is a long non-coding RNA of Vicia villosa (hairy vetch), 418 nucleotides long. RefSeq lists it as uncharacterized. The record is from RefSeq and is a predicted model, not a curated record. The transcript has 2 exons. Lineage: Eukaryota; Viridiplantae; Streptophyta; Magnoliopsida; Fabales; Fabaceae.